UUGUCCUUGACUUUUAUUUUCAUACACAAAAUACAUGGUGGAACCUUCUAAGACAUUUGAAGGACAUGAAGAACAUGAAGAUAGUGCUAAUGAAGAGCUUGAUAUGUUCCUAAAUAAUCAUCGAAUCAACGAUUUGCCAAAGAACCAAAUUUGGGGUCUGCAGAAAGUUCAAACAGCAACUAGCGAAAUGAGCGACGUCAUUGCGUCUGCUCAGUUUGUUCUAAGAGCUUUCCUCUCAGGCCUUAGUAGAGCAUCAGACUGGCCACGAGCCUCGGUAUGCUUGUUGGCGUGACAUUGAAGAAAAGAACAAUGAAACAUAUCAUGUUUUCUAACGCCAACUGAAGGCCCUUUCACUAGACCUCAUCUCUUAUCGGUGUCUAGACGAUGACCGACAUAUUUCUUGGCCUUUUUUCAAUGGGGUCCGGCUUCUUUUGGUCGUGAAUGAUAGUGCUACAUGUAAUUUAUUCUCAUUGGUGCCAUAUAUGUGUUAUCUGAUGUACUAGAUCGUAUUCUCUGUUUGUUAAGCAGCAAAAUGAAAAAAAAUGGUUUAUGAAUACCAGCAAUAUCUCAAUAAAUGAAUUUUCUCUUUUGGAUUGUA
Long non-coding RNA from Rosa rugosa (rugosa rose), 598 nucleotides. RefSeq lists it as uncharacterized. Lineage: Eukaryota; Viridiplantae; Streptophyta; Magnoliopsida; Rosales; Rosaceae. The record is from RefSeq and is a predicted model, not a curated record. The transcript has 2 exons.